Regulatory RNA element from Ruminococcaceae bacterium D16, 100 nucleotides. It matches the Rfam family "SAM riboswitch aptamer (S box leader)". Rfam says of the family: The SAM riboswitch is found upstream of a number of genes which code for proteins involved in methionine or cysteine biosynthesis in Gram-positive bacteria. The SAM riboswitch acts at the level of transcription termination control. The predicted structure consists of a complex stem-loop region followed by a single stem loop terminator region. NCBI's taxonomy places the organism in Bacteria, Bacillati, Bacillota, Clostridia, Eubacteriales, Oscillospiraceae. The record is from Rfam.
ACCUUAUCAAGAGCGGUGGAGGGAACGGCCCUAUGAAACCCGGCAACCUGCGUAAGACGCAAGGUGCUAAAUCCGGCGGCAGUGUAUCGAAAGAUGAGGG